RNAcentral lists this ribosomal RNA (431 nucleotides) under uncultured bacterium. Its description in RNAcentral is "partial 16S ribosomal RNA". It matches the Rfam family "Bacterial small subunit ribosomal RNA", at positions 29 to 507 of the family's 1533-position model. The record is from RNAcentral.
AACGAACGCUGGCGGCAGGCUUAACACAUGCAAGUCGAACGCCCCGCAAGGGGAGUGGCAGACGGGUGAGUAACGCGUGGGAACAUACCCUUUUCUACGGAAUAGCUCUGGGAAACUGGAAUUAAUACCGUAUACGCCCUACGGGGGAAAGAUUUAUCGGGGAAGGAUUGGCCCGCGUUGGAUUAGCUAGUUGGUGGGGUAAAGGCCUACCAAGGCGACGAUCCAUAGCUGGUCUGAGAGGAUGAUCAGCCACAUUGGGACUGAGACACGGCCCAAACUCCUACGGGAGGCAGCAGUGGGGAAUAUUGGACAAUGGGCGCAAGCCUGAUCCAGCCAUGCCGCGUGAGUGAUGAAGGCCUUAGGGUUGUAAAGCUCUUUCGCCGAUGAAGAUAAUGACGGUAGUCGGAGAAGAAGCCCCGGCUAACUUCGUG